RNAcentral lists this ribosomal RNA (936 nucleotides) under Triticum aestivum (bread wheat). RNAcentral describes it as "partial small subunit ribosomal RNA". The record is from RNAcentral. Lineage: Eukaryota; Viridiplantae; Streptophyta; Magnoliopsida; Poales; Poaceae.
AUGGCAUGUGUGUCCUCAGUGAAGUAUUCGGUGAAGCUCAAUGGGAAGUUGUUGGAGGCUUUUAGCCCUACGCGGGGUCUUAGACAAGGUGAUCCCUUCUCCCCCUUUUUGUUCCUUUUCGUUGCUGAUGCUCUUUCCGCUCUUCUGCAUAAAUCAGUUAAUGAUGGUCAGCUAGAGGGUCUAAAAAUUUGUAGCAGGGCACCAGUUAUAUCUCACUUGCUCUUUGCGGAUGACUCUUUGCUUUUCUUCCGAGCUUCGACAAACCAGGCAGAGGUGGUGAAAGAUUUGUUGAGCACUUACGCACAGUCUACGGGUCAGCUCUUGAACCCUUCCAAGUGUUCCAUUCUUUUCUCCACAAACUGUCUGGGGGCUGUUUCAGAGUCUAUAAAGCAUACUUUGGGUAUCUCGUGGGAGGUUUUCGAGCCUAAGUACUUGGGGCUGCCAGUGCCGCAAGGAAGAAUGCAUAAAGGCAGAUUUGAGAGUACCCAAGAAAGGUUGAGUAAGAGGCUCGUGGAUUGGAGCGAGCAAUAUACUUCCACUGGUACUAAGGAGAUUCUUAUAAAGUCGGUGGCGCAGGCGAUCCCCACCUUUGUCAUGAGCGUGUUCAAGCUUCCGGCUUCCAUUUGUGAUGACUUAACUCGGCUUAUGAGGCAAUACUGGUGGGGCGUGGAAAAUGGGAAAAGGAAGAUGGCUUGGUUGAGUUGGGAGAAGAUGAUCUUACCCAAAGCUAAAGGGGGGAUGGGCUUUCGUGAUAUGUGUGCGUUUAAUCAAGCCUUGUUGGCCAAGCAAGCUUGGAGGCUUAUUGACACACCCGAAAGCUUAUGCGCUCGUCUGCUGCAUGCAAAGUAUUAUCCCAACGGAAAUAUUCUUGAUACGGUGUUCUCUGGACGAGCUUCGGAGGUCUGGAAAGGAAUCAGCCAUGGGUUGGAACUUGUG